GUGAAUCAUCGAAUCUUUGAACGCAAAUUGCACUUUCUGGUAUUCCGGAAAGUAUGUCUGUUUGAGGGUCAGUUAAAUAAACAUCGGUGUUGUUGCUGUCUUUCGUGGUGACGCGUCGGAUUUGAGUCGUCUUUCCUUCGGUUAAGCUUUUUAAAAUUUUUGCAUGAUUUUCGAACGUAUUUAAAUUUCUUAGGUACGUUUGCGAUUUCGAAUACUUUAUUAGGUUCGGUCA
Molecule: unclassified non-coding RNA, 232 nt
Filed under: Glomus sp.
Lineage: Eukaryota; Fungi; Glomeromycota; Glomeromycetes; Glomerales; Glomeraceae
Description: partial contains 5.8S ribosomal RNA and internal transcribed spacer 2
Rfam family: 5.8S ribosomal RNA (bases 1-71)
Source: RNAcentral